GACGAACGCUGGCGGCGUGCUUAACACAUGCAAGUCGAACGGAAAGGCCCUGCUUUUGCGGGGUGCUCGAGUGGCGAACGGGUGAGUAACACGUGAGUAACCUGCCCCUGUCUGUGGGAUAACUUCAGGAAACUGGGGCUAAUAUCGGAUAGGAGCUCCUGCUGCAUGGUGGGGGUUGGAAAGUUUCGGCGGUUGGGGCUGGACUCGCUGCUUAUCAGCUUGUUGGUGGGGUAGUGGCUUACCAAGGUUUUGACGGGUAGGCGGCCUGAGAGGGUGACCAGCCACAUUAGGACUGAGGUACGGACCAGUCUCCUACGGGACGCAGCAGUGGGGAAUAUUGCACAGUGGGCGGGAGCCUGAUGCAGCGGCGCCGCGUGCGGGAUGACGGCCUUCGGGUUGUAAACCGCUUUCGCCUGUGACGAGGCGUGAGUGACGGUAAUGGGUAAGGAAGCACCGGCUAACUACGUG
This 468-nucleotide ribosomal RNA is filed under the name uncultured bacterium. RNAcentral describes it as "partial 16S ribosomal RNA". It matches the Rfam family "Bacterial small subunit ribosomal RNA", at positions 28 to 507 of the family's 1533-position model. The record is from RNAcentral.